Hysterangium stoloniferum is the source of this 80-nucleotide non-coding RNA. Lineage: Eukaryota; Fungi; Basidiomycota; Agaricomycetes; Hysterangiales; Hysterangiaceae. The record is from the annotation of a GenBank genome assembly.
GGCCUGAUAGCUCAGGGGUUAAGAGCACUAGACAUGUAAUCCAAAUUUAGUGGUUGCUGGUUCAAAUCCAGCUCAGGUCA